CAACGUUAAUCGGGGCAGGGUGAGUCGACCCCUAAGGCGAGGCCGAAAGGCGUAGUCGAUGGGAAACAGGUUAAUAUUCCUGUACUUGGUGUUACUGCGAAGGGGGGACGGAGAAGGCUAUGUUGGCCGGGCGACGGUUGUCCCGGUUUAAGCGUGUAGGCUGGUUUUCCAGGCAAAUCCGGAAAAUCAAGGCUGAGGCGUGAUGACGAGGCACUACGGUGCUGAAGCGACAAAUGCCCUGCUUCCAGGAAAAGCCUCUAAGCAUCAGGUAACAUCAAAUCGUACCCCAAACCGACACAGGUGGUCAGGUAGAGAAUACCAAGGCGCUUGAGAGAACUCGGGUGAAGGAACUAGGCAAAAUGGUGCCGUAACUUCGGGAGAAGGCACGCUGAUAUGUAGGUGAAGCGACUUGCUCGUGGAGCUGAAAUCAGUCGAAGAUACCAGCUGGCUGCAACUGUUUAUUAAAAACACAGCACUGUGCAAACACGAAAGUGGACGUAUACGGUGUGACGCCUGCCCGGUGCCGGAAGGUUAAUUGAUGGGGUUAGCGGUAACGCGAAGCUCUUGAUCGAAGCCCCGGUAAACGGCGGCCGUAACUAUAACGGUCCUAAGGUAGCGAAAUUCCUUGUCGGGUAAGUUCCGACCUGCACGAAUGGCGUAAUGAUGGCCAGGCUGUCUCCACCCGAGACUCAGUGAAAUUGAACUCGCUGUGAAGAUGCAGUGUACCCGCGGCAAGACGGAAAGACCCCGUGAACCUUUACUAUAGCUUGACACUGAACAUUGAGCCUUGAUGUGUAGGAUAGGUGGGAGGCUUUGAAGUGUGGACGCCAGUCUGCAUGGAGCCGACCUUGAAAUACCACCCUUUAAUGUUUGAUGUUCUAACGUGGGCCCCUUACCGGGGUUGCGGACAGUGUCUGGUGGGUAGUUUGACUGGGGCGGUCUCCUCCUAAAGAGUAACGGAGGAGCACGAAGGUUGGCUAAUCCUGGUCGGACAUCAGGAGGUUAGUGCAAUGGCAUAAGCCAGCUUGACUGCGAGCGUGACGGCGCGAGCAGGUGCGAAAGCAGGUCAUAGUGAUCCGGUGGUUCUGAAUGGAAGGGCCAUCGCUCAACGGAUAAAAGGUACUCCGGGGAUAACAGGCUGAUACCGCCCAAGAGUUCAUAUCGACGGCGGUGUUUGGCACCUCGAUGUCGGCUCAUCACAUCCUGGGGCUGAAGUAGGUCCCAAGGGUAUGGCUGUUCGCCAUUUAAAGUGGUACGCGAGCUGGGUUUAGAACGUCGUGAGACAGUUCGGUCCCUAUCUGCCGUGGGCGCUGGAGAACUGAGGGGGGCUGCUCCUAGUACGAGAGGACCGGAGUGGACGCAUCACUGGUGUUCGGGUUGUCAUGCCAAUGGCACUGCCCGGUAGCUAAAUGCGGAAGAGAUAAGUGCUGAAAGCAUCUAAGCACGAAACUUGCCCCGAGAUGAGUUCUCCCUGACUCCUUGAGAGUCCUGAAGGAACGUUGAAGACGACGACGUUGAUAGGCCGGGUGUGUAAGCGCAGCGAUGCGUUGAGCUAACCGGUACUAAUGAACCGUGAGGCUUAACCUUACAACGCCGAAG
This 1599-nucleotide ribosomal RNA is filed under the name Escherichia coli. RNAcentral's name for it is "partial 23S ribosomal RNA". It matches the Rfam family "Bacterial large subunit ribosomal RNA", at positions 1360 to 2925 of the family's 2925-position model. Lineage: Bacteria; Pseudomonadati; Pseudomonadota; Gammaproteobacteria; Enterobacterales; Enterobacteriaceae. The record is from RNAcentral.